Molecule: ribosomal RNA, 900 nt
Filed under: uncultured Bacillota bacterium
Lineage: Bacteria; Bacillati; Bacillota
Description: bacterial SSU rRNA
Rfam family: Bacterial small subunit ribosomal RNA
Source: RNAcentral
GGAUCCAGACUUUGAUUAUGGCUCAGGAUGAACGCUGGCGGCGCAUUUAAGACAUGCAAGUCGAACGAAAAUUUACGCUUAAAGAGUUGAUUAGUUUACUAAGAGAUGAUUUAUUGUAAAUUUUAGUGGCGGACUGGUGAGUAAUACAUAGGUAAUCUGCCUUUUAGAGGGGAAUAACUAGGAGAGAUCCUAGCUAAUACCGCGUAAGACCACACUUAGGCAUCUAAGAGAGGUCAAAGGAGUAAUCCGCUAAAAGAUGAGCCUGUGGCUGAUUAGUCAGUUGGUGGGGUAAGAGCCUACCAGGACGAUGAUCAGUAGCCGAGCUGAGAGGCUGGCCGGCCACAUUGGGACUGAGAUACGGCCCAGACUCCUACGGGAGGCAGCAGUUGGGAAUAUUGGACAAUGGAGGAAACUCUGAUCCAGUGACGCCGCGUGAAGGAAGAAGGUCUUCGGAUUGUAAACUUAUUUUAUCAGGGAAGAAGAAAGUGACAGUACCUGAAGAAAAAGGACCGGCAAACUACGUGCCAGCAGCCGCGGUAAUACGUAGGGUCCAAGCGUUAUCCGGAUUUACUGGGUGUAAAGGGCGAGUAGACGGCGCUGUAAGUCAGCUGUGAAAACUUAGGGCUCAACCUUAAGCCUGCAGCUGAAACUGUAGUGCUAGAGUGCAGGAGAGGUAAGCGGAAUUCCUAGUGUAGCGGUGAAAUGCGUAGAUAUUAGGAGGAACACCAGUGGCGAAGGCGGCUUACUGGACUGUAACUGACGUUGAGGCGCGAAAGUGUGGGGAGCAAACAGGAUUAGAUACCCUGGUAGUCCACACCGUAAACGAUGGACACUAGGUGUAGGCGAGAUAUCGUCUGUGCCGGCGCAAACGCAAUAAGUAUCCCACCUGGGGAGUACGGC